This is a long non-coding RNA of Triticum aestivum (bread wheat), 1064 nucleotides long. RefSeq lists it as uncharacterized. Lineage: Eukaryota; Viridiplantae; Streptophyta; Magnoliopsida; Poales; Poaceae. The transcript is spliced from 3 exons. The record is from RefSeq and is a predicted model, not a curated record.
GAAGCUCUUGUGACUUCUACUUACUUACCAGGGGUGUGGCUUGAUUCGUGUGACGUGGGGGGCAUGGCUUUGCUCAACUCCAUAGAGGCAGUCCGUCUGUGGCAGGAGCCGAUACAUACGGGAGCGACUAGUAUAGAAAAUGGCCCUCCGAUACAAGAAUAGAAAAAUCGAAGUUGGGCCAUUGGAUUGAGGAUGGAUGGCACAGAUUCUGCUGAAGGAUGUGUACAGACAAAUGCAUGCUUCUGUGCAAAAAGGACCUUCAUCUCUAUUGAAUUUGCUUCCUACAUUCUGUGCCAUCAAACGAGAGCCACACCCAUUUUUCAUCUCCCAACUGCUUCCCGACGGCGGUGGCGCUACAGCGACGUGACGACCCGUUGUUGGACUGAUAGUUUCAGAAUAAUUGAUCCAUUCAUGACGUACGCAACAUUGGCGAGAUGAGAGAGCCGUUUGUUCAGCACGGCAGAAGCUCGACCAAGGUUGUGGGUGAUCACCCAAACCCAGCAGGGACCUGCAACUGAACAGAGCCGUAGGAAGUGAUAUCUUUCUUGGCAAGAUUUUCUUGAUUACAUUUACAAAGAGGAGGGAAGGAAGAUUGUCUUUGAAUGAUUUGAGGGCCAUGUGAGGAAGAAAUUUUUGAUAGGUGUCAGCUCUCUAUUGUAUAACUGAAUGGUCGCCAGUGGACAGUACCAUGUAUGCAUUCGACCUCAAGGCGCAAUCCUGGUCUACUCUCGACUUGGCUGGCUAGGUUCCCCUGUCGCUCAUUGGCAUGGGCGGCACGGUGUUUGUGUUCGGCGUCCGCGUCAAGGAUCACAAGCUCUACGAGCUCUGCUUCGACACGACCAUAAACAUGACCUGUUCUUGUACCAAAAAUGACCCUCCCAUCUUAUGUAUCAAUUGAUAUUUAUGUAUGUCUGUUGUGUUGUGUUCUGGUAGGGGUGUUCCAGAUGUUUAGUUUUUUUUUUUUGAAAUGUCCAGAUGUUUAGUUCUGAUUGAAGGGUCUGGCUUAAUUUUAUUCAUGUACUAAAAUAUUUGUGAUGAGGAUUUGUUGUCGUUGAUGUUGUGUA